Molecule: long non-coding RNA, 552 nt
Filed under: Amborella trichopoda
Lineage: Eukaryota; Viridiplantae; Streptophyta; Magnoliopsida; Amborellales; Amborellaceae
Description: long non-coding RNA (ATRI_LNC000397)
Source: RNAcentral
UGGCCCAUCUAUGGAAUGGAUGACCAAAGUGUUUCAAUCCACAAGUCACCCAAGAUCAAUAGUUCAUAUUCAAUCUCACAAAAAGAGGCAAGGCAAGGAAAACCCUAAGAAACCCUAAUAUUAUUUUAAAGCCUAGAAAAAUGGAUUGUUUUACCCAAAAUCUCUACACCUUAUCUUUCUAUCUCGCUCCUAAGAAAGUCUCUCUCUAUCAUGAAAGCCCAAAGGGGGGACACACCUCUCUCUCUCAUCUUUGAUCUCUCUCUCAAAUUGUAAAAAGGGGCUAAGGGUUUAAGCUAUUGGGUUCUUCUCUCUCCCAUCUCUCAACUAGUGAUUUAUGGCUAAGGGUUUUAAUUCUAUCUCUCUCAAACUAGGUUGCUCGGAGAAUUCACUUAGGGUUUAAGUUUGUGAUCAAAGGGGUUCAUGCUCUAUUGGUGUGGCUUGGCUUAAACUUGCUUUCUCGGUUGAGAAUGAAGGUCGAUCAUUGAUCCCGCGACAUCGGAUGGUGGUGACUCGGUGUGGGGUGUAAUAAACCUGGUUGAGACAAUCUUUGAC